This 254-nucleotide ribosomal RNA is filed under the name uncultured bacterium. RNAcentral describes it as "partial 16S ribosomal RNA". It matches the Rfam family "Bacterial small subunit ribosomal RNA", at positions 524 to 776 of the family's 1533-position model. The record is from RNAcentral.
UACGAAGGGGGCUAGCGUUGCUCGGAAUCACUGGGCGUAAAGCGCACGUAGGCGGAUUGUUAAGUCAGGGGUGAAAUCCUGGAGCUCAACUCCAGAACUGCCUUUGAUACUGGCGACUUCUGAGUCCGGAAGAGGUGAGUGGAACUCCUAGUGUAGAGGUGGAAUUCGUAGAUAUUAGGAAGAACACCAGUGGCGAAGGUGGCUCACUGGUCCGGUACUGACGCUGAGGUGCGAAAGCGUGGGGAGCAAACAGG